RNAcentral lists this unclassified non-coding RNA (1091 nucleotides) under Leishmania donovani. Its description in RNAcentral is "gene:unknown". The record is from RNAcentral. Lineage: Eukaryota; Euglenozoa; Kinetoplastea; Trypanosomatida; Trypanosomatidae.
ACGCCCUUCGAGCACGUUUUCGGUAUCCUCAGCCGGCGCCCACACAUGUGCAGCGAUACACCUCACCGCAUUCCUGUCGCACACGCCCCCCUCUCUCGUGUUUUUUUUUGCUUCGUUUUAUAUUUCUUUCUUUACUGUUCCUUUUCGUUUUUCGUGUUCUUGCAUGUGUGUAUGUGUGUAGAUGCGCCCUCUCCGUGUGUUGUCGAGCUUCUAUGUACCAUCUGGCCUACCUCCGCACACCUUCCUCCUCCCCCUUCACCACCACCUCCAUUGUCCCACAGCAUAACUCAUCUCAUUGUUUCGUUCCCCGCACACGACGUUUUUCGGUGACUCUUUUCCCCGGUCGGACUGUGUCGUUGCUGUGUUGUAUCACGUGUGUCUGUCAGAAGGGCCUCGCUGCGUUCACCUGUCCCUGUCGGCGUGUAAGAGGCGGUCUCGUGCGUCCCCUCCUUUGCGUCUCUCCGUAGACCUGCACUCCUGUGUGCCCUCCUCGGCCUUCUUCCCCUCCACACACACAACGGCACAGGCGCUUUUUCAUUUCGUUGCCAGUUUCUGAUUCUGCCAUUGCGUUCAGCUCACGACGUUGCUCUUCCUCCACCGAUGCCCGGCUCGACGCCGAGAGAGAGAGAGAGAGAUGCACACACGCCAACGGCUCGAACUCCACUGAUUUUGCCUGCCGUGCGUUGGAAUAACCCUCGCGCCUUCGACGUCAUUUUGAAGGUGCGCACAACGUCUUCACGGAGACGGUGCGAUGACACGUGGAGAGGGAGGCCUCGUCUGUGCAGAGACAACGCCAGCACGGCUUGCCCCCACCACCACCACCCACAUGCGCACACACCACACCACACGACCACCACCUGCCUUAUCCAUUUUCGGCGAAGAAGAGGGCCUGCGGAAGAGUCCGUGCUCGUACUUUCAACGAAGGCAGUAUCUUUUGUUGUUGUGUCGCGGGUGCUCGGCUGCGUUCGUGGCCGGCGUCCAAAGAAAGCGAAAUCGAAAGCAAGUAUGGAGGUGAAGCGUCGCCCGCACUCGAACAUGUUUUUUUUUGUUGUUGUUUUUUGUUCACUUCUGCGCUGUUGGGUGUUCGACUG